GCCCGGCUAGCUCAAUCGGUAGAGCGUGAGACUCUUAGUUCACCAGCUCUUCAAGAUGCAGUGAUCGAGGACAUCUCAAGGCUGCGGGUUCGACCCCCGCGUUGGGCU
Molecule: non-coding RNA, 108 nt
Organism: Phyllosticta citriasiana
Lineage: Eukaryota; Fungi; Ascomycota; Dothideomycetes; Botryosphaeriales; Phyllostictaceae
Source: the annotation of a GenBank genome assembly